AGAGUUUGAUCAUGGCUCAGGAUGAACGCUAGCGGCAGGCCUAAUACAUGCAAGACGAACGGUAAGUGGUGUAGCAAUAUAUCACCAAGAGUGUCGUAAGGGUGCGUAACACGUAUGCAAUCUGCCCACAACAGGAGGAUAGCUCCCCGAAAGGGGAAUUAAUACUCCAUAAGAUCACACGAGGGCAUCUGAGAGUGAUUAAACUACAAGGGGUUGUGGAUGAGCAUGCGGAUGAUUAGCUAGUUGGUGCGGGUAACGGCCCACCAAGGCGAUGAUCAAUAGGGGAACUGAGAGGUUUAUCCCCCACACUGGCACUGAGAUACGGGCCAGACUCCUACGGGAGGCAGCAGUAGGGAAUAUUGGACAAUGGGUGCAAGCCUGAUCCAGCCAUGCCGCGUGCAGGAAGAAGGCCUUCUGGGUCGUAAACUGCUUUUCUCUGGGGAUAAAAAGACCCUGCGGGGUAAAUUGAAGGUACCAGAGGAAUAAGCCACGGCUAACUACGUGCCAGCAGCCGCGGUAAUACGUAGGUGGCAAGCGUUGUCCGGAUUUAUUGGGUUUAAAGGGUGCGUAGGCGGUUCCAUAAGUCAGUGGUGAAAUACGGCAGCUCAACUAUCGAGGUGCCAUUGAUACUGCGGAACUUGAGUACUGAUGAGGUAGGCGGAAUUGACGGUAGCGGUGAAAUGCUUAGAUAUCGUCAAGAACACCGAUAGCGAAGGCAGCUUACCAAGCAGUAACUGACGCUGAGGCACGAAAGUGCGGGGAUCAAACAGGAUUAGAUACCCNNGUAGUCC
This 791-nucleotide ribosomal RNA is filed under the name uncultured bacterium. RNAcentral describes it as "bacterial SSU rRNA". It matches the Rfam family "Bacterial small subunit ribosomal RNA", at positions 8 to 796 of the family's 1533-position model. The record is from RNAcentral.